UAAUACGUAGGGGGCGAGCGUUGCUCGGAAUUACUGGGCGUAAAGGGUGUGUAGGUGGCUGAGUAAGUCAAAGAUGAAAUCCCGAAGCUCAACUUCGGAAUUGUCUUUGAAACUGUUCAGCUUGAGGAUAGUUGAGGAGAACGGAACUCCCGGUGGAGCGGUGAAAUGCGUAGAUAUCGGGAAGAACACCUGAGGCGAAGGCGGUUCUCUAAGCUAUUCCUGACACUGAGACACGAAAGCUAGGGGAGCAAACGGGAUUAGAUACCCCGGUAGUCCUAGCCGUAAACGAUGGGCACUAGAUGUUCCUGCGUUUAUGUGGGAGUGUCGAAGCUAACGCGUUAAGUGCCCCGCCUGGGGAGUACGGUCGCAAGGCUG
This 375-nucleotide ribosomal RNA is filed under the name uncultured bacterium. RNAcentral describes it as "bacterial SSU rRNA". It matches the Rfam family "Bacterial small subunit ribosomal RNA", at positions 521 to 896 of the family's 1533-position model. The record is from RNAcentral.